AGUACAGAUGGGAGCUUGCUCCCUGAUGUCAGCGGCGGACGGGUGAGUAACACGUGGGUAACCUGCCUGUAAGACUGGGAUAACUCCGGGAAACCGGGGCUAAUACCGGAUGCUUGAUUGAACCGCAUGGUUCAAUUAUAAAAGGUGGCUUCUACCUACCACUUACGAAGGAACCCCCGCCCCAUUACCUAGUUGGGAAGGUACCGCCCCACCAAGGCAACAAUCCGAACCCAACCUGAAAGGUUGACCGCCCACACGGGAACUAAAACACGCCCCAAACCCCAACGGAAGGCACCAUUAGGAAACCUCCCGCAAGGAACAAAAGCCGAACGAACCACCCCCCCGGGAUUGAUAAAGGUUUCCGAACCGAAAAAUUCUUUUGUUAGGAAAAAACAAUUACCGUUCAAAUAGGGCGGAACCUUGACGGUCCCUAACCAAAAACCCACGGCAAAUUACUUGCCACCACCCGCGUAAAUACUAAGGUGCCAACCGUUGCCCGAAAUUAUGGGCCGAAAACCCCGCCCAGGCGUUUCCUUAAUCCGAAGGUGAAACCCCCCGGUUCACCCGGGAAGGUCCAUUGAAACCGGGGAAACUUGAUUGCAAAAAAGAAAAUGGAAAUUCCACUUGAACCGUUAAAUUGCUAAAAAAUGUGAAGAACCACCAUUGCCAAAGGCAAUCCUCUGGCCGGUACCUAACCCUAAGCCGCAAAACCUUGGGAACCAAACAGAAUAAAAACCCGGGUAUCCCCCCCGUAAACAAUAAGGCUAAUGGUAAAAGGUUUCCCCCCUUUAGUGCUGCACCAACGCAUUAACCACUCCCCCGGGGAAUACGGUCCCAAGACUAAACUCAAGGAAUUGACGGGGCCCGCACAGCGGUGAACAGGUGUUUAAUUCGAACCACGCGAAAACCUUACCAGGUCUUGACUCCUCUGACACCCUAAAAAUAGGCUUCCCUUCGGGGAAAAUGACGGUGGUGCAUGUUU
Molecule: ribosomal RNA, 982 nt
Filed under: Bacillus sp. (in: firmicutes)
Lineage: Bacteria; Bacillati; Bacillota; Bacilli; Caryophanales; Bacillaceae
Description: Bacillus sp. (in: Bacteria) partial 16S ribosomal RNA
Rfam family: Bacterial small subunit ribosomal RNA
Source: RNAcentral